RNAcentral lists this ribosomal RNA (841 nucleotides) under Pediococcus pentosaceus. RNAcentral describes it as "bacterial SSU rRNA". It matches the Rfam family "Bacterial small subunit ribosomal RNA", at positions 550 to 1392 of the family's 1533-position model. Lineage: Bacteria; Bacillati; Bacillota; Bacilli; Lactobacillales; Lactobacillaceae. The record is from RNAcentral.
AUUAUUGGGCGUAAGCGAGCGCAGGCGGUCUUUUAAGUCUAAUGUGAAAGCCUUCGGCUCAACCGAAGAAGUGCAUUGGAAACUGGGAGACUUGAGUGCAGAAGAGGACAGUGGAACUCCAUGUGUAGCGGUGAAAUGCGUAGAUAUAUGGAAGAACACCAGUGGCGAAGGCGGCUGUCUGGUCUGCAACUGACGCUGAGGCUCGAAAGCAUGGGUAGCGAACAGGAUUAGAUACCCUGGUAGUCCAUGCCGUAAACGAUGAUUACUAAGUGUUGGAGGGUUUCCGCCCUUCAGUGCUGCAGCUAACGCAUUAAGUAAUCCGCCUGGGGAGUACGACCGCAAGGUUGAAACUCAAAAGAAUUGACGGGGGCCCGCACAAGCGGUGGAGCAUGUGGUUUAAUUCGAAGCUACGCGAAGAACCUUACCAGGUCUUGACAUCUUCUGACAGUCUAAGAGAUUAGAGGUUCCCUUCGGGGACAGAAUGACAGGUGGUGCAUGGUUGUCGUCAGCUCGUGUCGUGAGAUGUUGGGUUAAGUCCCGCAACGAGCGCAACCCUUAUUACUAGUUGCCAGCAUUAAGUUGGGCACUCUAGUGAGACUGCCGGUGACAAACCGGAGGAAGGUGGGGACGACGUCAAAUCAUCAUGCCCCUUAUGACCUGGGCUACACACGUGCUACAAUGGAUGGUACAACGAGUCGCGAGACCGCGAGGUUAAGCUAAUCUCUUAAAACCAUUCUCAGUUCGGACUGUAGGCUGCAACUCGCCUACACGAAGUCGGAAUCGCUAGUAAUCGCGGAUCAGCAUGCCGCGGUGAAUACGUUCCCGGGCCUUGUACACACCG